UUCAGCAGCUGUACCGCCUGCAGUUUGGACCAAAUCAUCCACCUUAAGCUAAGCAGCUUUGGGCCUGGCCAGUACUUGGAUAGGAGACCAACUAAGAAAGCUGGGUUGCUGCUGGAA
Molecule: ribosomal RNA, 117 nt
Filed under: Paramormyrops kingsleyae
Lineage: Eukaryota; Metazoa; Chordata; Actinopteri; Osteoglossiformes; Mormyridae
Source: RNAcentral